CCCCUCGACGAAGAAGAUUUCGUCAGCUACGUCCUUGGAGGACUUGGAUCGGAAUACGAUCCACUCGUUGCCUCCAUCACCACCGGAGUUGACGAGGCGAGCUCGGACACGCUGUAUGCUCACCUCCUCACCUUCGAGC
Brachypodium distachyon (stiff brome) is the source of this 139-nucleotide non-coding RNA. The record is from Rfam. NCBI's taxonomy places the organism in Eukaryota, Viridiplantae, Streptophyta, Magnoliopsida, Poales, Poaceae.